RNAcentral lists this long non-coding RNA (1708 nucleotides) under Zea mays. RNAcentral's name for it is "long non-coding RNA (ZMAY_LNC004831)". The record is from RNAcentral. Lineage: Eukaryota; Viridiplantae; Streptophyta; Magnoliopsida; Poales; Poaceae.
CGGCAUUCGUUGAGAUCAAAUAGCUCCGAAUUCGGUGAAGUAUUUACGAUUAACUUGAUAAAAGGAGAUAAAUGUGGUAAGAAGAUAGAAAUUUUUACCGAGCGUCCGAGAUUAGGACUAAUCUCCUGGCAUAACACGAAACUGACACCUGGGGUGUCACAAACAGUGUGUAUCUCUAUACCCAAAACCACAUAAAGCAAUAACAGGUACUACCCAAAAUUUCAGUGGUAAACAAGGUAUAAAGAUAGUCAAACUAGGGUAACCUAUUGGGUCCCAUCAAAAUUAACCUAUGGAGAUCAUUAUGAUUAAUCAGAACAUGACUAGGUAAAAAGAAGUGAUCAAGGGCACAACUUGCCUUCAACGAGCUCCUGCUCAGCAGUCUCUACCAGCUGAACCUCUGGAUCCUCAGUGGCUGGCUCAUCUACUCGCAUCAAUACAAACAUACAUAGUAUAGCAAAAAUUAACAUCACACCAAACAAUAGAACAAAAUGCAUGAUAAUAUUCUAUGCUACGUAACGAGAUCAUAGGAACAAGAACCACUAAAUUCGAAAUUAUGCUUAUUUAGUUAUGAAUUUCUAAAGUUAUUUAGUGCCUCGAAUGGAAUAAUUCAAGUGCAUAAUUUUAAUUCAAGUUUGAUGAUUAAACAGAGCUACUAGUUGAUAGACAAUAUUAUUACAAAAUAAAUGCCACUAGAAUGAAUUAAUUUGGAGCUAGAAUGGAUUAAAUAUAAAUUUCACAAGUUUAUUGAUUUAUUUGUGUACUAAAAAUCAAUUUCUAUAGGUACUUAUCCAAUCUCUUUGUUCUCUGGGCCGAGAACUGAAUACAGAGAACUACAGGGACUGAACCAGAAGUUUUCCCCAGACUCAGAAUAACCCUAGGACGGACUGUGGGUUGGUUUUCUAAAACCAGGAGGGCUUUUCUGCAAAACACGCACAUCGAAGGGAUAUUGCGGUUUACUGGUUGUUGGAUUCGAGAUCGAGCGCCCAGAUCAGACUGCCCACUCCGCGAAUCGGUAUGUGAUCCCAACUGUUGGAUCCCACAUCGGUGGCUCUGAUUUAAAAACCUAUGACCUAAUCUCCCGCGUUCAUCCGCCGAUUGACGGACGUGAUGGCUCCAUUGCCCAACCGGUACGCUUGGAUGAUCUCGGCCGUGCAGAUUAGAUCCGACCACUCCCGAUCGUCUUCCUGACCCUGCCGAACUCCGCCGACCCCCAGCUUCACGCCGCGAUGAAGCCAUGGCCAGAGGGACCUGCUCUACCCCCCAAUGAGCCGAGUACUAAAUUCGUUGGGCGCUAAAUGAAAUUGGGACGAUGGCGGACCAGGGAAGGAAGAAUCUUACAAUGGUUACGCAGCGCUUGACUCUGUCCACGGCGCACGGCGAAUUCGCGGCGACAGUGAUGAAUUGGAGGCGCCCAGAUCGCUCCCCCUCCUUGAUUCCACUGUGAGUGCAUUCCGGAUGACCAGGCGGAGCUCCUCGACUCCACCCCGGGUACCCGCCAGCGAUGUUCUCACAUGGCGACAAUCUCUUUCCUCACGGAGAUCCGCUUGGACAACACGGCGGCACCGAGGCGAUUCACGGGGUGUCGAAAAGCGAAAAGGAAGAGGAGAGGAGAGGAAAGAAGUCGCGACGAUCCGGCCUAUAUGGGCGCAAGGUCGUUCGCGACGCGGAGCAAUGGAGCUCCGGGUCUUCGGGCGUACCCGCCCUAGUC